This 24-nucleotide non-coding RNA is filed under the name Cricetulus griseus (Chinese hamster). Lineage: Eukaryota; Metazoa; Chordata; Mammalia; Rodentia; Cricetidae. The record is from RNAcentral.
ACUGUGAUUAAGCUGAUCGAGAGG